This 125-nucleotide non-coding RNA is filed under the name Actinomycetota bacterium. Its description in RNAcentral is "Actinobacteria bacterium MoCo sequence". It matches the Rfam family "Molybdenum/Tungsten riboswitch aptamer (Moco RNA motif)". The record is from RNAcentral. Lineage: Bacteria; Bacillati; Actinomycetota.
GAGGACGGAAGCCUCCGAGCCCCGCAGGCCUUCGACGGAGGAUCCGUCAUGGAGGCGGGGCCCAUAGGGCGGUACCGGAAACGGUUCCGCCUCCCGGAUUUGGAAAGGAGCAUCUGAUGAUGGAC